RNAcentral lists this long non-coding RNA (279 nucleotides) under Dermacentor andersoni. RNAcentral's name for it is "uncharacterized LOC126520220". Lineage: Eukaryota; Metazoa; Arthropoda; Arachnida; Ixodida; Ixodidae. The record is from RNAcentral.
CAGUUCUUCGCAGGCACACGCUGACGCAUCAAUGUGGUACACGGCUUUACAAAACGUUGCUAUCAGAUUAUGCACAAGAGCUCCUUGCGAGCCCCGAAAUACAAUUUUUGGCUUUUGCGGUAUCGGAUGCACAUGUAGGCCAUGGAAGAAGGAUUACCACUGCCUGUCCAUAUUUGACUUGGCGUAAACUAACAAGGAACGAAAUUAGCCGUUUGAUGCCGCUGCGGAAUUCACUGUGAACAUGGCUAAACCUCCAAUAAAUGAUGCUCCAUUACUGCA